Molecule: non-coding RNA, 46 nt
Filed under: Schistosoma mansoni
Lineage: Eukaryota; Metazoa; Platyhelminthes; Trematoda; Strigeidida; Schistosomatidae
Source: RNAcentral
GCAUUGAUGAAGAGUCCCACAAUAGGACGAAACAGCCGUCCAAUGC